Long non-coding RNA from Callithrix jacchus (white-tufted-ear marmoset), 490 nucleotides. RefSeq lists it as uncharacterized. NCBI's taxonomy places the organism in Eukaryota, Metazoa, Chordata, Mammalia, Primates, Cebidae. The record is from RefSeq and is a predicted model, not a curated record.
AAGAAUGCAAAGGAGACAGGAGUCCUCUCCCACUUCUGGCACAUGUCACAACUACUUCUCCCACUAUGUCACAACUACACCCUGAUUCACUGUGUGACCUUCCCCUUUUGGCCUCUGGAUUCUCAUUUCCACAACCAGCAAAUGUGCUUGGAUCACCUCUGAGAUUUUUCACAGCACCAGACUCCAAAGCCUUUGAACUCUCCAAGGCCUGAUAUCUGGAGCCACCAUUUCCCAAGCUUAUCUGAAGAAGGGUGCUACAAUUCAUAAGCAUCAGAUGCCCAGGAUAAAGACCAUUCGCUUUUAUGCUUUGUCAUCUUCAUUUUAGAGAUGGGCAACCGAGGAACAGAGAGGUUCAGUCACAUGCAUCUGAGGACAACAGGUCCCUGAGCUCUGCAUGAUGAACAAAUGAGCAAAGGAGGAACACACACAGAUUGUCUCCCACACACACUCACACGUUCAUUUGCACAGACCGUGGGGAAUGGAACACGAG